This 334-nucleotide unclassified non-coding RNA is filed under the name uncultured Agaricomycetes. RNAcentral describes it as "sequence contains ITS2". The record is from RNAcentral. Lineage: Eukaryota; Fungi; Basidiomycota; Agaricomycetes.
AACGCACCUUGCGCUCCCUGGUAUUCCGGGGAGCACGCCUGUUCGAGCGUCAUAAAGUUAUCAAAUGGUUACCUUUUUUUCUCACAAGUGAGAAAGGUAGCUAUUUGGAUUUGGACUCUGCUGUUGUAACUAAUGGCUGGUCCGAAAGCUAUUAGCUGAUCCUAAUGAAGGACUUGGUUCUUACUUGGCGUGAUAAUUAUCAAACGUCGAGGACAUUACAAGUGCGUUUGUAAUGGCCAAGAAAAUCUAAUAGGAACGCUUUCUAAUGGUCUUGAUAGACAAAAUUUGUAUCAAAUCUGACCUCGAAUCAGGUGGGACUACCCGCUGAACUUAA